This 507-nucleotide ribosomal RNA is filed under the name uncultured bacterium. RNAcentral describes it as "bacterial SSU rRNA". It matches the Rfam family "Bacterial small subunit ribosomal RNA", at positions 8 to 509 of the family's 1533-position model. The record is from RNAcentral.
AGAGUUUGAGUCCUGGCUCAGGAUGAACGCUGGCGGCGUGCUUAACACAUGCAAGUCGAACGAGGUUACUUAUUACGAUCCCUUCGGGGUGACGAUUUUUAACCGAGUGGCGGACGGGUGAGUAACGCGUGGGCAACCUGCCCCAUACAGGGGGAUAACAGUUGGAAACGACUGACAAUACCGCAUAAGCGCACGGUACCGCAUGGUACAGUGUGAAAAACUCCGGUGGUAUGGGAUGGGCCCGCGUCUGAUUAGCUAGUUGGUGAGGUUAAACGGGCCCCACCAAGGCGACGAUCAGUAGCCGACCUGAGAGGGCGACCGGCCACAUUGGGACUGAGACACGGCCCAAACUCCUACGGGAGGCAGCAGUGGGGAAUAUUGCACAAUGGGGGAAACCCUGAUGCAGCGACGCCGCGUGAGCGAGGAAGUAUUUCGGUAUGUAAAGCUCUAUCAGCAGGGAAGAAACAUGACGGUACCUGACUAAGAAGCCCCGGCUAACUACGUGCC